RNAcentral lists this long non-coding RNA (1287 nucleotides) under Cricetulus griseus (Chinese hamster). Its description in RNAcentral is "lncRNA (ENSCGRG00015027150.2)". Lineage: Eukaryota; Metazoa; Chordata; Mammalia; Rodentia; Cricetidae. The record is from RNAcentral.
CUCAGUCUGUUCUUUGCACACUGUAGCCACACCCUCUGACUUCCUUCUGUCCAAUACUUUAAUAUAGAUCCUUAACCCUUUACUGUGGUCUGCUCAUACUUCUCAACCAAGCCCCUGUCUACCUCAUCAUCAUCAUUCGGUCCUCAGUCACUUCAGUACUUUUCACCAUCUGACUCAUCGAGGCUCUUCAUGCUGUAAAGCAGUUCAACUUCUCCAGGAAACAGAGUCAGGCAGAGCUUAGAGUUCCGGAUGUUUAUCAGGGAGUGGUGCUUGAGUCAACACCCGUGCAAAGGACUGGGCUGAGGCAGAAUUGGGAAGAGGGAGAAAUCCAGCUGAGAUGCAAGCCAGACAGUGCCCGCCAACAGCACAGGGUGCUCAGAAACUUGAAACAGAACACAGAGUGCAUUGCUGGUGUCUGUAAACAAGGCCUUCCAGAUUAAACUCAGUUGGCUUCUCUACCAGGUCAAGUUCCCCCUACGCCAUCAUUCCAUCCUGGCAUAGCCUUUAUCAUACUUCACAGUUGCUUGGGAGUUGACAAUUCAGCAGUACUGAUCUACUUGUAGCUUACAGACCCUCUGAGUGGUCAUGCUGAUCCAGAUCCAGUGCUUGAGUUGGUCCACCCCAACAACUACUCCAUCUAAGAGCUGCUGGAACCGGUGGAGGAGCUGGUGAUACAAAACCAGAUUCAGGAACAAGUCAUCUACACUGAGGAUUAAAACCUGAAGCGUGGCUGUGAUGGAGGCUAGCACCUGCCACUGUGGAGCAGCCCCGAGGAGCCUAAAAGAUCCAUGCAGUUUCCGAGGGGAGACAAAGCACUAGCAGAGGAGUCUGCAGAGAUGACAGUGUCCAUGGGAAGAUGCUUUUUAAAAGUAGACUUGUGAAAUUGGAAGGAAAGAUGGCAGAACAGAGCCAGAUGCAUGGAAUAGAAUGGCCAAACUACAAAGGGCAAUGCCAUGGUCCAGGCUGUAGCCAGAGAGACAAUGAAUCUUUUUUUUUUUUUCAGUGUGGUAUUGAUGACUGCAAACUCACAUCUGAGAAUUAAAGACAUAGAAGGCUUUUGUGACAACCUCCAACAAAACAGUCUAGACAGUUAUUGAAGAGAACUCUUAAAAAAUGUGAUAAGGAUGCUGAAGAGUGGCUCUUCACAGUUCAUGGCUUCUGGUGGGGGUUGGGUAGGAGAAGGAAUCUGUUAUCUUCAAGGGGUUGGAUACUUGGAUUUUGACUGCAUCAGUAAAUAUAUUGGCAACACAAAUUGGAAUUGAUACUUGUUUUUUAAUCUUUUGAUUG